AGAGUUUGAUCCUGGCUCAGGACGAACGCUGGCGGCGUGCUUAACACAUGCAAGUCGAACGGGGCACCCUUGACUGAGGUUUCGGCCAAAUGAUAGGAAUGCCUAGUGGCGGACUGGUGAGUAACGCGUGAGGAACCUGCCUUCCAGAGGGGGACAACAGUUGGAAACGACUGCUAAUACCGCAUGAUAUAUCGAAAGGGCAUCCUUUUGAUAUCAAAGAUUUUAUCGCUGGAAGAUGGCCUCGCG
This 246-nucleotide ribosomal RNA is filed under the name uncultured bacterium. RNAcentral describes it as "partial 16S ribosomal RNA". It matches the Rfam family "Bacterial small subunit ribosomal RNA", at positions 8 to 235 of the family's 1533-position model. The record is from RNAcentral.